GGAAUAUUGCGCAAUGGGCGAAAGCCUGACGCAGCAACGCCGCGUGGAGGAUGAAGGCCUUCGGGUUGUAAACUCCUGUCAGAGGGGACGAAAAGGUAGGGUCAAAUAGGCCUUGGCGUUGACGGUACCCUCAGAGGAAGCCCCGGCUAACUCCGUGCCAGCAGCCGCGGUAAUACGGAGGGGGCAAGCGUUAUUCGGAAUUAUUGGGCGUAAAGCGCGCGUAGGCGGCUUGACAAGUCAAAGGUGAAAUCCCUCGGCUCAACCGAGGAACUGCCUUUGAAACUGUCUCGCUAGAGGCCGGGAGGGGGUAGCGGAAUUCCCAGUGUAGCGGUGAAAUGCGUAGAUAUUGGGAGGAACACCGGUGGCGAAGGCGGCUACCUGGACCGGUUCUGACGCUGAGGCGCGAAAGCGUGGGGAGCAAACA
This 424-nucleotide ribosomal RNA is filed under the name uncultured bacterium. RNAcentral describes it as "bacterial SSU rRNA". It matches the Rfam family "Bacterial small subunit ribosomal RNA", at positions 358 to 774 of the family's 1533-position model. The record is from RNAcentral.